Molecule: long non-coding RNA, 1812 nt
Filed under: Mus musculus (house mouse)
Lineage: Eukaryota; Metazoa; Chordata; Mammalia; Rodentia; Muridae
Description: long non-coding RNA chr8:112547687-112549499
Source: RNAcentral
UUCAGGUUGUCUGGCUCCAGGAAUCCUCCCAUCUCUGUCAUCUCGGUACUGGGAUUGCAGAGGUUUGCUGCCACGCCUGGGUUUUUAUGUGUGUUAUAGGGAUAUGAACUCAGGCCUUCAUGCCUGCAUUACAAGUACUUACUUUAUAAACUGAACUGCCCCUCCAGUCCUUCACUUUCAUUUUUGAAAACAAUUAAGUACUCAUAAAUAUUUAUAAUGCAAUGUUCUCAAUAUUUAGCACUGAGGACAUAAAGCUGGAUCUGCUUCAGAUCGAUGCUGGUGAUGGCUGACAACGCUUUUGAGGAGGGAGCCGUAGACUAGAACUCUUUCUAGGAAACACCAGAAAUGUCAGGGAUCCUGAAAGAGAAACAGGGGGGCGGCUUCAUCAAGCCUUGUCUUUACACAUGUCUUAGGUAUUGUUGUUCUUUAACUGAGUACCUCAUAGCCAAACAGAUUAAGUUAGUUUUAAAUUAAAGCCAGAUCAGAUAAGACUAGGGACAAUAUAAAAUAAAUUAACUUCAUUUUAACUUUUACUCCCGAGAAAUCAACGGUAUUUCCUUUAAGAUCAUUUCUUAUCAUUUUCUUCAAAAGUAAUCAAGAACAUAACCAUCGGUUAAGACAGACCUUUAUUUAUGGCACACAAUUGUCUGCUCUGUUGAGUCUUGAAGGAUUGCUUGGUUGAUCUCAGGUUAAGUUUACAAAUGCCUAGAAAAGUAUGUACUAAAGGUAAAAUAUAUCCGAAGACAAAGAAAUCAAACCUCUUUGAUGAUCCACAAAAUAUUCAAUUAUAUAUCAGGGGCUCUUGUUUAUAAUGAAAUUAUGUUAAAGAAUUUGUAAUCAGAGCCAGAAGAUGGCUCUGUGAGAAGAGCUACUUGUCGACAAGCCUGAUGUUCUAAGUUCCAUCACUCAUGUGGUGGGAGGAGAGACUUGACUCCACAAACAUACUGUGACUGUGGGUAGGUGCACAUGUGAUCAUGUGCGCACACACACACAUGCACACACACACACACAAUCUUGGAGAAAUGCAAUGAAAACAACAAUUUUCAUUGGCGAUGUCCAUAUAAAUCCCAGUGAUUUGUAUUAUCCAUGCCAAGGAAAUUUUGUUUUCAUUCACUUGAAAAAAUUCUCAAUCUGCCCACCGUGCACACUAUUUAGCCCAGGCCUCUAAGCUUAUGUAGCUGAGGGUGGCCUUGAAUUUCUGAUCCUACUGCCUCCAUCUCUCAAGCACUGAGAUGAAAGGCAUGUGUUGCCAUGCCUGGCUUGUCCUUUUGAAAAUUCUGAACUCUAGUUCAUCUCUGGUCAGUUGCAGCAGGUUCUAAAUGAAUGCGCAAAGCAGCUCAUAGCUCCUGGUGGGUCUUUACAUGCACAAUAUACUGAAAAUUAUAAAAGCCACUGUGUGAAGAUGUUAGUUCCUGAAUAUAUCUUUUGUUCUUCCUAAGUGCAGGCAAUGUUUUCCACUGAAUAUUUUACUGAUAUAAGAGAAGGAAAUGGAAGGGAGAAAGAUGAAUUUUAUGAGUUAUGAAUUGCAUAAAAAGUCCUGGACUAGACAUUCCAAAAUAGCUACUUAUACCUAGAAAAAGACUUCUCCAUUGUGAUUUUACAAGGACACAACUAAAAACAACACUAACUCUGAAGACUGCAAGAGAAAUUUAGAAGGAAUGAAAACAUCAGAGGGGGUAAGAGUGGUUUUCCAUAUUCACAUUUAUUUCUCAGAAAGUAGGAUUGUCCUUGUCAAAUGUCAAACGGUGGUAUUUUACUACUGCAAAUAUUGUAUGUUUAAAUAAUUUUUUUUGGUCUGGAGUUUUAUUUACU